RNAcentral lists this ribosomal RNA (813 nucleotides) under uncultured Atopobium sp. Its description in RNAcentral is "bacterial SSU rRNA". It matches the Rfam family "Bacterial small subunit ribosomal RNA", at positions 51 to 879 of the family's 1533-position model. Lineage: Bacteria; Bacillati; Actinomycetota; Coriobacteriia; Coriobacteriales; Atopobiaceae. The record is from RNAcentral.
ACACAUGCAAGUCGAACGAUUAAAGCACCUUCGGGUGUGUAUAAAGUGGCGAACGGCUGAGUAACACGUGGGCAACCUGCCCCUUUCAUUGGGAUAGCCACGGGAAACCGUGGAUAAUACCGAAUACUUCGAGACUUCCGCAUGGAAGACUCGAGAAAGCUCCGGCGGAGAGGGAUGGGCCCGCGGCCUGUUAGCUUGUUGGUGGGGUAACGGCCUACCAAGGCAAUGAUGGGUAGCUGGGUUGAGAGACCGACCAGCCAGAUUGGGACUGAGACACGGCCCAGACUCCUACGGGAGGCAGCAGUGGGGAAUCUUGCACAAUGGGCGAAAGCCUGAUGCAGCGACGCCGCGUGCGGGAUGAAGGCCUUCGGGUUGUAAACCGCUUUCAGCAGGGACGAGGCGAAAGUGACGGUACCUGCAGAAGAAGCCCCGGCUAACCACGUGCCAGCAGCCGCGGUAAUACGUAGGGGGCAAGCGUUAUCCGGAUUCAUUGGGCGUAAAGCGCUCGUAGGCGGUCUGUUAGGUCGGGAGUUAAAUCCGGGGGCUCAACCCCCGCUCGCUCUCGAUACCGGCAGACUUGAGUUUGGUAGGGGAAGGUGGAAUUCCUAGUGUAGCGGUGGAAUGCGCAGAUAUUAGGAAGAACACCAGUGGCGAAGGCGGCCUUCUGGGCCAUAACUGACGCUGAGGAGCGAAAGCUAGGGGAGCAAACAGGAUUAGAUACCCUGGUAGUCCUAGCCGUAAACGAUGGACACUAGGUGUGGGGGAGUAUUUCUUCCGUGCCGCAGCCAACGCAUUAAGUGUCCCGCCUGGGGA